UACCAAGGCAAUGAUGCAUAGCCGAGUUGAGAGACUGAUCGGCCACAAUGGAACUGAGACACGGUCCAUACUCCUACGGGAGGCAGCAGUAGGGAAUCUUCCACAAUGGGCGCAAGCCUGAUGGAGCAACACCGCGUGAGUGAAGAAGGGUUUCGGCUCGUAAAACUCUGUUGUUGAAGAAGAACGUGCGUGAGAGUAACUGUUCAUGCAGUGACGGUAUUCAACCAGGAAGUCACGGCUAACUACGUGCCAGCAGCCGCGGUAAUACGUAGGUGGCAAGCGUUAUCCGGAUUUAUUGGGCGUAAAGCGAGCGCAGGCGGUUGCUUAGGUCUGAUGUGAAAGCCUUCGGCUUAACCGAAGAAGUGCAUCGGAAACCGGGCGACUUGAGUGCAGAAGAGGACAGUGGAACUCCAUGUGUAGCGGUGGAAUGCGUAGAUAUAUGGAAGAACACCAGUGGCGAAGGCGGCUGUCUGGUCUGCAACUGACGCUGAGGCUCGAAAGCAUGGGUAGCGAACAGGAUUAGAUACCCUGGUAGUCCAUGCCGUAAACGAUGAGUGCUAGGUGUUGGAGGGUUUCCGCCCUUCAGUGCCGCAGCUAACGCAUUAAGCACUCCGCCUGGGGAGUACGACCGCAAGGUUGAAACUCAAAGGAAUUGACGGGGGCCCGCACAAGCGGUGGAGCAUGUGGUUUAAUUCGAAGCUACGCGAAGAACCUUACCAGGUCUUGACAUCUUGCGCUAACCUAAGAGAUUAGGCGUUCCCUUCGGGGACGCAAUGACAGGUGGUGCAUGGUCGUCGUCAGCUCGUGUCGUGAGAUGUUGGGUUAAGUCCCGCAACGAGCGCAACCCUUGUUACUAGUUGCCAGCAUUCAGUUGGGCACUCUAGUGAGACUGCCGGUGACAAACCGGAGGAAGGUGGGGACGACGUCAGAUCAUCAUGCCCCUUAUGACCUGGGCUACACACGUGCUACAAUGGCCGGUACAACGAGCAGCUAACCCGCGAGGGUGUGCAAAUCUCUUAAAGCCGGUCUCAGUUCGGACUGCAGUCUGCAACUCGACUGCACGAAGUCGGAAUCGCUAGUAAUCGCGGAUCAGCAUGCCGCGGUGAAUACGUUCCCGGGCCUUGUACACACCGCCCGUCACACCAUGGAAGUUUGCAAUGCCCAAAGUCAGUGGCCUAACCAUUUUGGAGGG
Molecule: ribosomal RNA, 1192 nt
Filed under: Limosilactobacillus panis
Lineage: Bacteria; Bacillati; Bacillota; Bacilli; Lactobacillales; Lactobacillaceae
Description: bacterial SSU rRNA
Rfam family: Bacterial small subunit ribosomal RNA
Source: RNAcentral